AUGGGAGUUGCGAUAUUCUUC
RNAcentral lists this microRNA (21 nucleotides) under Ananas comosus (pineapple). RNAcentral's name for it is "microRNA s0981_c124a". Lineage: Eukaryota; Viridiplantae; Streptophyta; Magnoliopsida; Poales; Bromeliaceae. The record is from RNAcentral.